Molecule: ribosomal RNA, 494 nt
Filed under: uncultured bacterium
Lineage: Bacteria
Description: bacterial SSU rRNA
Rfam family: Bacterial small subunit ribosomal RNA
Source: RNAcentral
GACGAACGCUGGCGGCGUGCUUAACACAUGCAAGUCGAACGGACGAGUGAGAUAAGUUUACUUAACUCACAAGUUAGUGGCGGACGGGUGAGUAACACGUGGAUAAUCUACCUGCAACACCGGGAUAACGCUGUGAAAACGGUGCUAAUACCGGAUACGUUCCCUUGUGCGCAUGUAUGAGGGAAGAAAGCUCAGGCGGUUGCAGAUGAGUCCGCGGCUGAUUAGCUAGUUGGUGAGGUAAAGGCUCACCAAGGCGAUGAUCAGUAGCCGGCCUGAGAGGGUGAACGGCCACACUGGGACUGAGACACGGCCCAGACUCCUACGGGAGGCAGCAGUGGGGAAUCUUCCGCAAUGGGCGCAAGCCUGACGGAGCAACGCCGCGUGGGUGAAGAAGGCCUCGGUUGUAAGCCUGUCUUAUGGGAGAAAAAUAGACGGUACCAGAGGAGGAAGCCCGGCCGUAACUACGUGCCAGCAGCCGCGGUAAGAGUAGUACA